Long non-coding RNA from Tachysurus fulvidraco (yellow catfish), 638 nucleotides. RefSeq lists it as uncharacterized. The record is from RefSeq and is a predicted model, not a curated record. Lineage: Eukaryota; Metazoa; Chordata; Actinopteri; Siluriformes; Bagridae. The transcript is spliced from 3 exons.
GUGUUCUGCUAUCAGCUGGUGACACAAUGCAGAUUGUCCAAUCAGCACAAUCAGGAGGCGGACUUUAAUUUGCCAGAACUUUAGUUCCUGUGAUGUUCGCUCUCUAUUGAUCUCUCACUCAUUCUUGUUUUAACAGCAGAGUGUAAGAGUCGGCGACGUGUCAUGACAAGAGCACGAAAAACAUUUCAGCCAACACACUUCUCACGGCGUGGGGACAUGAGGGGACGAUUGUUGGGCUGCAGUCCAGUCCGGUUAGUGUCUCUCUGACAUCAGACACACUACAGUGCUUCGAGACUUGGUGCUUCAUCAAAUCCACCUCAGAGUAAAUGUCUUACUUCCUGUUCCUGCCCUAGUCACAGUCUUCAUACAGCUUAUGUUUCAGUUCUAUAAGUUUUCUGUCCUGUAAAUGACAUUAUUACUGUGUGAGACGUUUCUUACUGCAGCUCCAAGUACCACAGAAUCUGCCACAAUCACCUGGGUCAGGAAACUCAUCCUGCGGUCAAUAACACUGAUAUCUAACGAGUAACACGACUAGUGAUUUAAUUAGAAGACAUUAUAGUCAUCUCCGUAUCAUGUAAUGGUUGAAGAAAUCAUUCUGAAGUCAUUAAACCGAUGUCUGUGAUGUUGUAGGAAUAAAA